AGCAUGCUGGGAUUGAUUUGUGAUGUCUGCCACGAAUAUAAGAUUGGCCAUUUGGGGCAUGAAUGCUAUUCAUGGAUUGGAUCUCCUAAGAGCCCGAAUUUCUGAGAAACCACUGAAGACCUGACCCCAGCGCUUAAUUAUUUCUCCUUUCCAAGCAUCUCUCAUGGAAGGCAUCUUGGAUGAAAAGACCUUUGGCAGCGUGGGUUUUGCAGGGACCGUCUGGUACCAGGAACUGGCCAAAUGUGAAGGUGUAAAACACAAAGUUCACACCCUGAAGAACCUUCUAGUCCAGUCGGGGAGAUGGACCCAGAAUGUCAGAUUAAGAUUGGCCUGCAUCAGCCCAAAUGGUUCCAUGUUCUUCUUUUUAAUGGCUGCAUAGUACUCCUUUGCAUGGAUGCACCACAGUUCAUUUAACCAGAGUCCUGUUGGCAGGCAUUUCAGAUGUUUGCAAUUUUUCUGUGAGACCAACACCACUGUGAUCAGCAUCCUGUUGCUGUGUGAAAAGUCCAGGCUAGCCUGCUGGAGGAUGAGUGAUGGGUGAAGCAGAGAUGAAUUUUCAGAGCUGGCUUCAUCUGAGACCAGCCAGCCCUAGCUGUGGAAGGCAGACACUUAGCAAACCCAGCCAAGAUCAGCCAAGCCCAUCCCAGGGCAGAAGAACCACCAAGCUGAUCCCAGUCCACAUCUACUUCUGGAAGCACGUGCUAAAUAAAUGGUUGCUGUUUUAAGCCACUGAGCUAUGGGAGGCUUUGUUUCCCAGCAAUAACUAAUUGAUAAAUCAUCAACAGUAAAAUGGAUAAAUGAAUUGUGGUACAGGCACACGUGGAAUGAAAAACAUUAAGGAGAAUAAAUAAACUACUGCUACACAAGACAACAUGGAUGAACCUCACCAAUACUAAGCCGGGUGAAGGAAGCUCAGCAGGCAGAGUGCAUCCUACAAGAUGCCUUUUAUAGAAAAAGUACAAGAAUAGGUGAGAGUAAUCUAUGGAGAGAUAAGUUAGGGUAGUGGUUACCUUUGAGGGGGGACUAAAUAGGAGGGGGUUAGCUACUGGGGUGUGUUCACUUGGUGACCAUUUGUUGGGCUGUAUACUUAACAUAUGUGCAUUUUUGUGCAUGUAGUUUAUACUUUGGUAAAAAGAUUUAAAAAUAUCAGGUCUCUUGUUUCUUUUCUAGUUGCUGGAGAGCCAGUGGGAUUGCAUCUUUUGCAGAGGACAGGUCCUUAAGGGCAAAAUCGCUUAAGAGUCAAAAUGGCCUUGAAAAUUCCUUGGGAAGCCGUCAUGUUGGAGCCAACCACUAUUUCUCAAUAAUUUCAGCACAGCCAGUUUUUCCUCCUGCGUUGGGACGGAUCGCUGUUUCUCCUGUCAAGCUCCAGAUACAGUAAAGUCUUGUGUUUAGGGGCCACACAGUGGAGUGGGACACUCACAGGCAGAGGGAGGAACCAGGUGCUCCUACUCAGAGACACGUGGGACCCAACGGGAGGGUUUGGCUUGGAAGAGACACCUUCAAAGUGAGUGGUGUGGGGAUUUCCCCAUCAUAUAAUGUCCCCUUUGGGGUGUGAGGGGCAAAUGUGUUUAGUUAAGUGGAUCUUAACUCAGUUAAAUUAAAUUCAUGUAUGAUGUGA
Homo sapiens (human) is the source of this 1618-nucleotide long non-coding RNA. RefSeq annotates it as cytoplasmic mesoderm regulator. The transcript has 5 exons. NCBI's taxonomy places the organism in Eukaryota, Metazoa, Chordata, Mammalia, Primates, Hominidae. The record is from RefSeq and is marked validated.